UACAGAGGCCUCGAGCGUUAGGCGGAAUCACUGGGCUUAAAGCGUGUGUAGGCGGAUCGGUAAGUACCUUGUGAAAUCCCACGGCUUAACUGUGGAACUGCUGGGUAUACUGCCAGUCUUGAGCCACUCAGGGGCUACCGGAACAAAUGGUGGAGCGGUGAAAUGCGUAGAUAUCAUUUGGAACGCCAAUGGUGAAAACAGGUAGCUGGGGGUGUGCCGACGCUGAGACACGAAAGCCAGGGGAGCAAACAGG
Molecule: ribosomal RNA, 253 nt
Filed under: uncultured bacterium
Lineage: Bacteria
Description: partial 16S ribosomal RNA
Rfam family: Bacterial small subunit ribosomal RNA
Source: RNAcentral